Non-coding RNA from Hemiscyllium ocellatum (epaulette shark), 363 nucleotides. NCBI's taxonomy places the organism in Eukaryota, Metazoa, Chordata, Chondrichthyes, Orectolobiformes, Hemiscylliidae. The record is from the annotation of a RefSeq genome assembly.
AUGGGUUUUCAGAAAACGUUCUCCAAAUCUGACAUAAUCGGAGGCAGUCAGAGAUCUCAGUCAAAGCUGACCCUGCCAGCACUCUCUCCAGAACAGGUCAAGGCCAAGGGCACUGCCACUGUAAUGUGCUUUGUCAAUCAAUUCUAUCCCGCUAAGUUGGAGGUGCAGUGGAGGAAGGAUGGUGCAAUCGUUUUGAACGGGGUUCAGGCGACCAACUACAUGCAAGUUUUGGACAGAACCAGAAGCCUGCUGACAUUUUCUGAUUUCAACUGGGAGCCCAAUGCUCGCUUCUCCAGUGACGUCGCCCACGCGAACUUCUCCUCUUCCCUCUGCAAGAAAAUCAGGAGAUCAGAAUGUUUGUAG